Long non-coding RNA from Haliotis rufescens (red abalone), 678 nucleotides. RefSeq lists it as uncharacterized. Lineage: Eukaryota; Metazoa; Mollusca; Gastropoda; Lepetellida; Haliotidae. The record is from RefSeq and is a predicted model, not a curated record. The transcript has 4 exons.
CUAGACUGGUCCUGAGGUCGACCAUGUGGAAGUUUGGGAAGGAAAUGCAAUUUCGCAAGCCUGUGAUGCUUUUGAAUGAUAACGUAUCAGAUGAGGUGGCGGAAUGCAGUGGAAGAUAGCAGAUACUGCAACGUCACGGUAUGCAAGCCAUGUCAGGGAGACUCGAGUCAAGAAAGGUCUCCAGAGCAGAUGAAACAGCUUCCACCGGCCUCCACUCAACACCAACACUCGGUAUCCAGUUCCAGAUAAGAUAAACCUCCACAGCAAUGCGGUCCAUUAUAUCAGGGCGCAUUACGUGGCUGUUGUCUGUACUAGAAGUGGGGAGACCAGGAUGGGGAACAUUCGCUGAACCGGAUGUGCGUAAUGGAGGCGCCCUGGCUUCAUUGGUUUAGAUAAUGGUGCUUCACAAUGGACCACGUGUCGGAGUGGAUGUUUUGGAAUGGCGUCUAACAUCCUUUUUCGCUUAUACCACACAAUAAAAACAAAUUAAACGUCAAUGUUUUAAUAAAGUGCUGCAUUACGAACAGGGUAGGUGGUAUCUUAAAGGGUCAUUUUAAAAACUGGAGACAGGGUUGACUUAUUAUUUCGAUUUCUUUUUACACUGUUUACAUGAGUGAGUGAGUGAGCAGGCGAGUUUUACACCGUUUUACACCGUUUUACCCAUAUUCCAGCAAUAUC